Molecule: non-coding RNA, 180 nt
Filed under: Methyloglobulus sp.
Lineage: Bacteria; Pseudomonadati; Pseudomonadota; Gammaproteobacteria; Methylococcales; Methylococcaceae
Description: 6S RNA
Rfam family: 6S / SsrS RNA
About the family: E. coli 6S RNA was the first non coding RNA to be sequenced, but its function was unknown until recently.
Source: RNAcentral
UAUCUCCUGCAGUGUUUGACAGUGUGCUGGGUGUUUCCUGAACCUGUAAUAACCCCGGGGGCAAAUAAUCGCUAAUGGUGUGCAUGCCCGUUUCGACGAGAAGCCUGAUUUAACGACCCUGUCCCCACUUGAACCUCCGGUUCAAGGACGAAAGCACAUAUCGGCACAGGUGGGAGAUGC